GUUGUAUAGUCAAGUAAUUAAGUGCAUGUGGUGGAUGCCUUGGCAGUCAGAGGCGAUGAAAGACGUGAUAGCCUGCGAAAAGCUCCGGGGAGGCGGCAAAUAUCCUUUGAUCCGGAGAUGUCUGAAUGGGGGAACCCACCUACUUUAAGGUAGGUAUUGCAACAUGAAUACAUAGUGUUGCAAGGCGAACGAGGGGAAGUGAAACAUCUCAGUACCCUUAGGAAAAGAAAUCAAUUGAGAUUCCCUCAGUAGCGGCGAGCGAACGGGGAUCAGCCCAUUAAGUUAUGUGUGUUUUAGUGGAACGCUCUGGGAAGUGCGAACGUAGAGGGUGAUAUUCCCGUACACGAAAGGGCACACAUAAUGAUGACGAGUAGGGCGAGGCACGUGAAACCUUGUCUGAAUAUGGGGGGACCAUCCUCCAAGGCUAAAUACUCCUGACUGACCGAUAGUGAACCAGUACCGUGAGGGAAAGGCGAAAAGAACCCCUGUGAGGGGAGUGAAAUAGAUCCUGAAACCGCAUGCAUACAAGCAGUGGGAGCACCUUCGUGGUGUGACUGCGUACCUUUUGUAUAAUGGGUCAGCGACUUAUAUUCAGUAGCGAGGUUAACCGUAUAGGGGAGCCGUAGAGAAAUCGAGUCUUAAUAGGGCGUUUAGUUGCUGGGUAUAGACCCGAAACCAGGCGAUCUAUCCAUGAGCAGGUUGAAGGUUGGGUAACACUAACUGGAGGACCGAACCCACUGUCGUUGAAAAGCCAGGGGAUGACUUGUGGAUAGGGGUGAAAGGCUAAUCAAGCCUGGUGAUAGCUGGUUCUCCCCGAAAGCUAUUUAGGUAGCGCCUCGGACGAAUACCAUUGGGGGUAGAGCACUGUUUCGGCUAGGGGGUCAUCCCGACUUACCAAACCGAUGCAAACUCCGAAUACCAAUGAGUACUAUCCG
Molecule: ribosomal RNA, 935 nt
Filed under: Acinetobacter radioresistens
Lineage: Bacteria; Pseudomonadati; Pseudomonadota; Gammaproteobacteria; Moraxellales; Moraxellaceae
Description: bacterial LSU rRNA
Rfam family: Bacterial large subunit ribosomal RNA
Source: RNAcentral